Molecule: non-coding RNA, 28 nt
Filed under: Homo sapiens (human)
Lineage: Eukaryota; Metazoa; Chordata; Mammalia; Primates; Hominidae
Source: RNAcentral
UGGUGACAGAUCGCUGGAUUCUAAUAGC